GUUCCUGGCUUAGGAUGAACGCUAGCGGCAGGCUUAACACAUGCAAGUCGAGGGGCAGCGCGGGAUAGCAAUAUCCUGGCGGCGACCGGCGGAAGGGUGCGUAACGCGUGAGCGACAUGCCCGUUGCCCGGGGACAACCGGUGGAAACGCCGACUAAUCCCCGAUGGGAUAUUGUGCCGCAUGGCACGAUAUUGAAAGUUACGGCGGCGACGGAUUGGCUCGCGUCCGAUUAGCUUGUUGGCGGGUAACGG
Molecule: ribosomal RNA, 251 nt
Filed under: uncultured bacterium
Lineage: Bacteria
Description: partial 16S ribosomal RNA
Rfam family: Bacterial small subunit ribosomal RNA
Source: RNAcentral